This 72-nucleotide transfer RNA is filed under the name Acanthoscelides obtectus. It matches the Rfam family "tRNA". From Rfam's summary of the family: Transfer RNA (tRNA) molecules are approximately 80 nucleotides in length. Their secondary structure includes four short double-helical elements and three loops (D, anti-codon, and T loops). Further hydrogen bonds mediate the characteristic L-shaped molecular structure. tRNAs have two regions of fundamental functional importance: the anti-codon, which is responsible for specific mRNA codon recognition, and the 3' end, to which the tRNAs corresponding amino acid is attached (by aminoacyl-tRNA synthetases). tRNAs cope with the degeneracy of the genetic code in two manners: having more than one tRNA (with a specific anti-codon) for a particular amino acid; and 'wobble' base-pairing, i.e. permitting non-standard base-pairing at the 3rd anti-codon position. Lineage: Eukaryota; Metazoa; Arthropoda; Insecta; Coleoptera; Chrysomelidae. The record is from Rfam by way of RNAcentral.
CCCUCUGUAGCUCAGUGGCAGAGCGCUGGUCUUGUAAACCAGGAGUCGUGAGUUCAACCCUCACAGAAGGCA